Molecule: RNA transcript, 4409 nt
Organism: Crotalus tigris (Tiger rattlesnake)
Lineage: Eukaryota; Metazoa; Chordata; Lepidosauria; Squamata; Viperidae
Gene: ST7L
Gene name: suppression of tumorigenicity 7 like
Exons: 16
Source: RefSeq, a predicted model, not a curated record
CCCGCCCUCCUGCCUCUUUCAGCCAGCCAGGCCUCAGCAAGCCGAGGGCGGGAGUCAUGGCGGAGAGUAAUCCUGGGAGUGGGGAUGCUGCGCCGUCUCUCUCCCAGUCCCCUGGCCCUGGGCCCGGUCCUCGGCGAUGGGAGCGGCUGAGGCUGGCUUCAGGGCCUUGGGCGCGGUCAUUUGGCUUCCUGGCGACGCUGGGUCUCCUUUAUUUCUUGCGGGGCCCGCUUCGGCUGCGGGACAACUUAGUGGCAGUGACUGUUUUCUUGAGCACACUGACUCCAAAAUUCUAUGUUGCACUUACGGGAACUUCAUCUUUGAUAUCUGGUCUGAUAUUUAUAUUUGAAUGGUGGUACUUCAGAAAAUAUGGCAUGUCUUUUAUCGAGCAGGUUUCUGUGAGUCAUCUGCGACCACUCAUUGGAGGGGCAGAGAAUGCUAGUUCUGGACAGGCAAAUUUUUCUGCUGCUAAUGGAGAAAAUGAAAUGAACAGACAAAAUCUCUCAGAGUGCAAGGUAUGGAGAAAUCCACUCAAUCUCUUUAGAGGUGCAGAAUAUAACAGAUAUACAUGGGUGACAGGAAAGGAGCCACUAACAUAUUAUGAUAUGAACUUAUCUGCUCAGGAUCAUCAGAGUUUUUUUACCUGUGAAACAGACUCUCUUAGACCUUCAGAUGCAGUUAUGCAGAAGGCAUGGCGGGAAAGGAAUCCUCAGGCCCGAAUCAAAGCAGCGUAUCAAGCUUUAGAAUUAAAUAAUGACUGUGCCACAGCAUACAUUCUUCUGGCUGAGGAAGAAGCAACUACUAUUUUAGAAGCUGAAAAAUACUUUAAACAAGCUCUGAGGGCAGGAGAAACAGUUUAUAAAAAGUCUCAGCAUAGCAGUUCACAAAAUCCACACCAUGAGGCACAGCUUAGAAGAGAUACCAAUGUAUUGGUUUAUGUGAAAAGAAGACUAGCUAUGUGUGCAAGAAAGCUUGGAAGAAUUAAAGAAGCAUCAAAAAUGAUGAGGGAUUUAAUGAAAGAAUUUCCUGUCCUAAGUGUAUUGAAUAUCCAUGAAAACCUCCUAGAAACACUUCUGGAGUUACAGGCUUAUGCUGAUGUCCAGGCAGUUCUAGCAAAGUAUGAUGAUAUCAGUCUUCCAAAAUCAGCAGCAAUAUGUUACACAGCAGCACUCUUAAAAGCAAGAGCAGUUUCAGAUAGGUUUUCUCCAGAAACUGCUUCUAGAAGGGGACUUAGCACAGCCGAAAUUAAUGCUGUAGAAGCAAUACAUAGAGCAGUAGAAUUUAACCCUCAUGUACCAAAGUACUUGCUAGAAAUGAAAAGCUUAAUUUUGCCUCCUGAGCACAUUCUGAAGCGUGGGGACAGUGAAGCAGUAGCCUACGCAUUCUUCCAUCUUCAGCACUGGAAACGAAUAGAAGGGGCCCUUAACUUGCUGCACUGCACAUGGGAAGGCACAUUUAGAAUGAUACCAUAUCCGUUAGAAAAGGGACAUCUAUUUUAUCCCUAUCCCAGUUGCACAGAAACAGCAGACAGAGAGUUAUUACCAACAUUUCAUGAUGUAUCUGUGUAUCCCCAAAAAGAUCUUCCUUUUUUCAUCCAUUUUACAGCAGGGCUAUGUUCUUUCACAGCAAUGUUAGCCCUCCUCACACAUCAGUUUCCUGAACUCAUGGUCAUUUUUGCUAAAGCUAUGGUACUUCCUAAGAGCUGAAGUAACAGGGGUAGCUUUAUUACGAAGCAAUGCAAAACAGUUAUUGAUGACUGUUUCCAAGUUUUUUGGAACUCUUUUGUCACCUUUGAGCUUCUUGAUGGAGAAGAUAGAACGCCUCAUGCCUUCUGGUCUCUGGCAUCAGCUGACCCAAAUCUGAACACAUCUCAGUUCACAUGAACUUUAACAUCAGCACCUCUUGAUUACAAAAGCAUUGGCAACUAAGAGUGUGAAGGAAGCCUUACUUAGCUUUGUUUUACAGGCUGUUAAACAUUUUUUGUACUCCUUCGUAAGCCUAAAAUAUUGUAGAUUUAAAAUCCACAAUUCAGUGUCUGGGUGGGUGGGGAGAGGAUUGUUGGUACUUAAGGCUACUGCUUUCUCUCUCAGAAAUUCCAGAAAGCAAUAAAUCUGAUAGAUCCUAUGUUGAAAUUUCCUUCUGAAGUGGAGAUAUACUUAUUUAUAUUUAUUAGCCAAGAAUCUAACCCACAGGGCUUGUGUUACUGACCAUUUGCCAAGAUGCACGGCCCAGUAGGGGGCCCACUGCCAGUACAUCAAGUCUCCUGCUUCUUUCUGUUGCUGCAUGUUCACUUGUUUACUCCUAAGGAAGGGAGCAGUUAACAGAAAAACAAGAAGGAACUAUAGCCUGCAUUUGCUUUACUCUUUCUCUCCUGAUCUAAGGCAGCAACACGAAGAAAAGGGACCAAGAAGUACCAUAGAGAUGCGUUGCUAAUGCUAGUCUUGAAAGCAAGAGAUAAUUCUGCUGAAACUUGGUUCUGAACCAUUCUUAAUUAUGAGGAUCUUCCAACUGGUCACCAUAUAUUGUGUUUUUUGAGGAUUAUCUGAAUUACAGUUAACUUGGAUUUAUUUAAUUUAAUUAAAAUUAACAAAAUCACAAAGGGAAUAAUACACACACACACACACACACACACACACACACACACACACACAUCAUGCCUAGGCCACACACAAAUUGAAGCCAAGUUGUAUAAUUCCUUGCACAAGGCCAUUAGUAUUGGGGCCAUCAAUGUCUCAGGAAUAUGCUGUUCCACAGGGCAUGCGCAGUGAGUGACAUAGAAAGCAUCCCCUUAUGAUAGUUCUAUAAGUUAAGAAAGAAUAUAAAUUAUAUUUUGGACAGAAUCAUUUAUUAUGUAUAAGUAAAUGCAUAGCCUGGGCAGCCUAGUCAUUUUAUUAAAAGUUUAAUUAGUUGCUAUGUGCCCAUCUCCUCCCCCAUUUUCACUGGCUUAAGCAAGUAGCAGUUCUUAGCCAACCAUUGCCUAUUACAAAAGCUAAGCAGGAUUGGCCCUGGCUUACAUUUGGAUGAAAGACAACCUGACAAUUCUGAAACUGUUGGCCAGAUUAGAAAGUUUUUAAAAAUCCUGAAAGAAAGCAACGGCAAACCAUUUCUAUACAGUGGUCCUUCAAAUCCUUAUGAACCCUUUUAAAUUUUCAAUAUUUCUCUAUAAAUAUGACCUAAAAUGUGAUCUGUCAUCCACACAGUUGUUUAGAACUAUAUAAAGUGAAAACCAAUUAAAUGAGUCUAAAACAUAACUUGUUCAUUUAUUUGCUGAGGAAAGGAUAUAAAGCUACACAUUUGUCACAAAAUGUAUAUGAACUUUGCUUUCAGUAAUUGCUAAUGUUUUGGAGUGGCCAACUUAAAAGUCCUGACCUUAAUCCUAAAGAAAUGUUGUGGAAGGACUUGAAGUAAGGAGUUCAUGUGAGGAAGUCCAUCCCUUAGUUUGAAGAUACUCUGUAAAGAAGAAUGCAUUAAAAUUUCUUCCACACAAAUCUAUAGGACUGAUCAGUUACUGAAAAUGUUUAGUUGCAGUUAUUGCUGCCCAGUGACUGAAAGCAAAGAUUCACAUACUUGCCACACACAAAUAUGUAGCUUUGGAUCAUUUUUCUCAAUAAAGCAAUGAACAAAUGUUUUUAAUUCAUUUAUUUAAUUGCACUGUUUAUCCAGAAAUACUGAAAAUUCAGAAGAAUUUGCAGACACUUAAACACUAACUCUGCCAAGAUAACUGCUUGGCUCAAGGGUGUUUUUACUUUUUUAUUGUUCAUCAAGCAAUAAAUCAGAAUUUAAUAAGUGGAUUAGUCAUUUGCACUUGUUUCUUAAAUUGCUCAACCAUUUGUAGAGCUUGAUGGAGACUGAUACCUUAGGAGGAGUUUCUCCUAACAUCAAUAGACAAAAUUGAUUUUUAUCCUUGACCUUUGACUAUCCUGAGUCAUUUAUAAAGCUCAGUUUAUCCCUUCCCCUUUCUCCCAUCUUCUGUCUUUGUUUUGAACAGCAACUAUAUGAAGGAAAGUGGGACAACUAAAUACUUGAGUAAUAGCAUUGUAGUAUUGGAUGACAGGUGUAUUUCUCAACUGCUGUUAGACAUUAUUAAAGCAUGGCUAGUUCAGAUGUGUAAUCGCAGCAUACAAGGAUAGAAGAAAUACAAGGCAUACACACACAGCGUAUAAGGAUAGAAAAAGUUUUAUCUGUUGCAAAAACACUGAUGUCUACACAAAAUGACUGCUCUUUCUGAAGCAAAGUUAUAUUUCAUAGAUGUUUUGAAGAUCAUUCAUUUCUCUAUCUCUUACAGUAUUUUUCUUUGCUGUAUUUCAUAAAUGUAUAUUGCAAGGCAGAUAGCUUGUUAUCUACAAGCCUAUGAUAUGUUCUUGAUUAUUAGGGAUCAUUACUACUUGAUAAAUAUGUCACUUACCACUCUA